This 1016-nucleotide ribosomal RNA is filed under the name uncultured bacterium. RNAcentral describes it as "bacterial SSU rRNA". It matches the Rfam family "Bacterial small subunit ribosomal RNA", at positions 357 to 1376 of the family's 1533-position model. The record is from RNAcentral.
AGGAAUAUUGGUCAAUGGACGAGAGUCUGAACCAGCCAAGUAGCGUGAAGGAUGACUGCCCUAUGGGUUGUAAACUUCUUUUAUACGGGAAUAAAGUGAGGCACGUGUGCCUUUUUGUAUGUACCGUAUGAAUAAGGAUCGGCUAACUCCGUGCCAGCAGCCGCGGUAAUACGGAGGAUCCGAGCGUUAUCCGGAUUUAUUGGGUUUAAAGGGAGCGUAGGCGGACGCUUAAGUCAGUUGUGAAAGUUUGCGGCUCAACCGUAAAAUUGCAGUUGAUACUGGGUGUCUUGAGUACAGUAGAGGCAGGCGGAAUUCGUGGUGUAGCGGUGAAAUGCUUAGAUAUCACGAAGAACUCCGAUUGCGAAGGCAGCCUGCUGGACUGUAACUGACGCUGAUGCUCGAAAGUGUGGGUAUCAAACAGGAUUAGAUACCCUGGUAGUCCACACAGUAAACGAUGAAUACUCGCUGUUUGCGAUAUACAGUAAGCGGCCAAGCGAAAGCGUUAAGUAUUCCACCUGGGGAGUACGCCGGCAACGGUGAAACUCAAAGGAAUUGACGGGGGCCCGCACAAGCGGAGGAACAUGUGGUUUAAUUCGAUGAUACGCGAGGAACCUUACCCGGGCUUGAAUUGCAACUGAAUGAUGUGGAGACAUGUCAGCCGCAAGGCAGUUGUGAAGGUGCUGCAUGGUUGUCGUCAGCUCGUGCCGUGAGGUGUCGGCUUAAGUGCCAUAACGAGCGCAACCCUUAUCGAUAGUUACCAUCAGGUUAUGCUGGGGACUCUGUCGAGACUGCCGUCGUAAGAUGUGAGGAAGGUGGGGAUGACGUCAAAUCAGCACGGCCCUUACGUCCGGGGCUACACACGUGUUACAAUGGGGGGUACAGAAGGCAGCUACACGGCGACGUGAUGCUAAUCCCGAAAGCCUCUCUCAGUUCGGAUUGGAGUCUGCAACCCGACUCCAUGAAGCUGGAUUCGCUAGUAAUCGCGCAUCAGCCACGGCGCGGUGAAUACGUUCCCG